CGGCGCACCCUGCGCCCCCCUGCUCCACGCUCUUCGUCGCAAACCUUGGGCAAUUCGUCUCAGAACAUGAGCUGAAGGAAAUAUUUAGCAGGGAGCCAAAGGCGGAGAAGAGGGCGAACAACGUUAAUUCUUACGUGGCUCUCGGCACUUGACAACCAGCUAACUGAGGGACGCGCCAUCUUGAUCCUCUGAGUGGCAUCGCGGCCGCGGCCGGAGACGGGGCUUGCUGCUGCUACGCGCGCCCUCUCUACGGAUGAACAGGAUCAAGAAUAUGGUGCGCAGCGCCGCGCUGCGGGCCGAUGCUCUCACCUCCUUAUUUCUUUACAAUUUUAACCGCGUCAGGGGUGUAUGUACGUGUGUGUGGUGUAUUUUGUUGAUACCAAAUUUAGAAUAAAUUUUAUUGUAUUAUUAUUAACAUUCCAGUUGAAUUGUUUACCGUUCAUGAUUAUAUUAUUUGAAAUUAUUUUAUCCCUUAAAUGUAAACUGUUCUCGCAAAACUUUUAAUAGUUAAUAUUCUUUUUAUGUAAUAUAGAUUUAUUUACAACUAACUUAUUUUGUGGGAAAUUUUUGUAUAUUAGUUUUAACGAGGCCGAUGUUUACAACUGAGAGGACUUGUUAUGAAUAUAGUGUAAUACCAGAAAUGAAAAAAAAAAACAUUUUAGGAUAUAUCACAUUCGAGUAAGCUAAAAACCAAAGGUGCCCUUCAUAGAAAAAUUACGUUUUGUUAUAUGAUAUUUCAAGUUGAAUGAUUUUUAAUAAAGUUGUAUGUAAUAAUUACGAUACAUUUGUUUUUAGUCGCGAUAAUGUUAGCAUAUUUAAAUAAAUUUCUCAUGACUAUUUCAAAUUAUAUUUACCUAAAUGCUUUUCUUAGUCAUUUUUAUAAUGUUCGAUCACUCGUUAAUCGCGCUGGCACUCUAGUGUUGGUCUCGCGUUUCCUUUCUAUCGAUUAUAUUGAAUUAUUGCAAUAAUUAUAAAUUGUAGAGUAAAUUCUAUGCGUCAGGAGGAGUGCGCCCCUCGGUGUCGCUCUGUGAAGUGCAAUGCGUGUGGGAGCGGUGGGGGAGGUGGGGGAGGUGUGGCGAGGUGGGGAGCGGUGGGGAGAGGUGGAGAGAGCCCUCGCACCCGUCACGUAUCGUUGCGAGAAUUUAGCCUUGGCCUUAUGAGAGUUAAAUAACUAAAUGUAAUCUCUAUGUUAAUUAAAUAGUGAAUAAUGUGUACGGCGAGCCGCGCGCCACGCUCUAUAGUGAAAACGAUUAUUCUAUUCGCAUGCUUGGACGAGCUUUUUGGUAAUAAUCUAAUUUAAAAAUUUAGUAGUUACUUUUAUUGUGUAAUCAUUAGAUGAAUAUUAUAACUAGCUAAGGGUAUUUAUUGUAGACGAUGAGCAUAGUUACAUUACUUUUAACGAAAUCUAUUCGUACAUAAUAAUGAAAUGUAAUGACGUUAAAUUUACCCAAAUGUUAGUAUGUAAUGGAAUGGAAGAUUAAUAUAUUUUUUAUUUUUAGCUAGUUGACUAUGUAUGGAGAUCUGUUUAGUUACUGAGUUACCUUCGCGUCACGGGGGGAGGGGGAGGCAUGGGGUGUGACGCAAGGUACACGGCACGCGAGACGGCAGCAAACCAAAAAUGAAAUGUUCAUGUUUGUAUUAUAGAUUUAGUGAAGUAUUCUGCUGAUGUAAACAUGUAAAAAUUAUAUAAAAAAACGUAAAAAAAAAAUCCCUGCUUAGUCUGUAAUUAUAAGGUUUCGGAUAUUCGGAUUAAAAACUUGACUCGACGGAAAUCAAUGAGUUAUUCACGCGAUAGAUGUCGUCAGAAAGACCAGUGAAAUCCGCAUGUGAAUUCUUAUGAAAAGUUUCUUAGUCAAUAUUUAAUAAAAAAAAAUAUCGUCAAUUUUUUGACUUAGCAAAAUUUUAUACAUCGUUUAUAGUGAUGUGACUUUCACAUUAUACCGAGCGUCGUUGCGUAUAGACCAAAGAUAAACGAUAUACAUAAUUUUAUUACUAACCUCAGACCGUACCAAACACGUAUUAUAAGGUGCACCUACUUUCGUAACGAUUUUCCAGAAUGUUCGUUAUCUUCUGGCCCGUACCUAAACCUACACCAGUUCCAAGUACGUCAAACAUCUGGUCUUAGACCAUCGUUACCUACCAGCUGUGAAAUGUGUGCAAUUUUUAUCUAUUUCAGAACGGAAAGCCACAAUUUAAACUAUCAGAAUGUCGGUUCCCUUCUUGAAAACCCUUGUCGAUUUUAGUAAUUAAGCUAAGUCAAUGUUUACUUAUUUAAUUCGAUUUAACGCUAAUUCGUGUGUAAGUACUUGUGUAAUAGUGUAGUAGUGAUCUCCCAACUUACGGCGAGCGGCGUCCCAUUCGAAAAUACAACGAAACCUUGAACACAACUUAGUGGAUUUUUUGUAUUUCUAAAUUCCCAUUAUCAACAAUAUCUUUAAAAUUCAAUCUAACAUUAAAUUCAAUUUUCGAGCGCUACUUUUUAAACGCUGUUUUUAUGUGAGUUUUUAUUUAGGCGGGAAAGUAAGUCGGGCGCCGCCGCCGCCAUGAUUCCGUCCAACGACCGUAGAUAGCGCGUAAGAGACGUCCAGUGGCUGCGGACACGGCUACGUCACCUAUUGCGGGACUACUCGAUACAUAUCAUCGUAAUAUUAAUGUAUUAUUAGAAGUAAAGAGCGGUUUCAUAGAGACGUUUAUUCUGUAUCCUCGUCUUGUACUUGUAAUGCAAUCGGCUGCAUGUCACGCUAUCGUCGCUCUUUCUAUUUCUACAAACGUUCCUCGCUUGGAAGCCGCGCGUUCUCCUUUCAUACUGACCUUCGCUUGAAAUCUGUCUGUGGAUUAGUUUGCGAUGUUAGUAUCGAUUGUUCUAUGAGAUAUUGCUCGCGUCUCGAAAGUAUGUAUAUAUUGUGCGUAUUUUGUUAACGUUUACCGACUGUGGCAUCGAGUAGAUUGUGGUGGGAGCGUGGUCGGUGUGUCAGAGUGGAGUCGGACGCGUGACAUGACCCGCGUGCGCUGUGCGACGUGCGACAGGCCAGUGCGGGGGAGUGGCGUCGCCUUGCAAGUUAGGUUAAGUGAAGCGGUAUCACACAAACACCGUGUAUCGGAAACAUAUCAAUUCUGUGCCCCUUAAUAAAUCUAGUUAAAUUCUAAUUUAGAUACAUAUGGAUAGAAUAAUGAAACAAAAUAAUCGUUCGGAGUAUAAAAUACCGGCUAAGUGUUGUUUUCGUAGACGGAGGUGGUAGUGUGUACUGUGUACUGUGUAAUGUGUCGUGUUGCGUGCGUGUUGUGCGCGUCGGACGCGACCGAACCUCGCGCGCUUUCUGUUCACUUAUUGCAAUUACAUUAUUCAAACGUUAUUUUUAUUGUUAAUUCUUAGACUAAUUAUUAAUAUGGCUUAAUUACCAAAAUAAUUUUUAGCUGUUCGCUUCGGAUUCAGUAUUAAUGUUCUUGUUUUGUCGGUGCGGAGAGACCGCGUGUCGCCUGUGACCUAUUUGUAUAUCGAGCAAAGUAAACCAUACAAAAUAUAUAGUUAGUAAUUAAUUGUUAGAUUUGUGUGACUUGAAUUAUUUAAUGCUUUUAGAGCAAUGGUAAAGUGUUAUUGUGGUUUAAGAAAAAAAAACAUAAUGACAUUGUAAAAAUAGUGAUAAAUUUAGCUUAAUUAUCAUUAUUACAACUUUUAUAGAUGUUCAUAUUGAUUUUUCUUUUCUUACUUCAUGGAGUUUUGUGGCAUUGGAGACGUCAUUGUUAAUUCAAAUAAAUCUGAGCUCAUCCUCAUUCGAUUUUUAUUCAACUGACAACCCUGAGUACUAAACCUGAGUCGUGAUCUGAGCAAUGUGGUACGCUUGUAGGCGUUAUCUCAAACAGACUAACACAAAUAUAAUGAAGACUUGAGGUGAGCUUAACGUUAUUCGUAUAAGUAAUAUUGACGUUAUGUGUUCGGCGAUUCGAUUUGACUAGCCUAGAUGCGAAUGACCUAGUCUGAACACCGCCAAGCAAUGCUCUACAGAUCAUACCUCCAUUUUUACCUAUCUUUGAAGCCUUUUGUCGUGUUAUAAUCUAAUUAUCUCUGCAAAAAUGAUAUGUUUAAUAUAUUGUCAAUAUUCUUGUAAUAUUAAUAAACAAUAUUAGUACUAAAUUAAUGAUAGAUUUCUAGUUUAGAUAAUCGAUUAGAUAUAAUGAUUGAGAGUUGAGCUUUGACCAUUGCUUUGUAGGGAAUGCUUCUGUACGUGCUGCGUGGAGGGCAGCGCCCGUCGACAGGUUGUUUUUGUUUAUAUUAUACAGACAACAGAGGUUUUAAUCUCUGUUUCAACUAUAUAAUUAAUUUAUCGCAGUGUUGUAUUUAUGUUAUUAUUAGUUUUAAAGCAUUAUAGGGUCCAAAGAUUGGGAAUAAAUUUAUGUGACAAAUUUA
Papilio polytes (common Mormon) is the source of this 4405-nucleotide long non-coding RNA. RefSeq lists it as uncharacterized. The record is from RefSeq and is a predicted model, not a curated record. The transcript is spliced from 2 exons. NCBI's taxonomy places the organism in Eukaryota, Metazoa, Arthropoda, Insecta, Lepidoptera, Papilionidae.